UCUUGCGGGAAGGACGGGCGGUAGAUCUUGGCUCGUUCUGACAUUUAAAGGUGAUCUUGGGUGUGAAAAGGUUGGAGACCCCUGCUCUAACCGGCAUCUCCUGUCUGUUUGCUUUGCAGCUGCCCCUGGUGACCCUGCAGGAUCCCCACGGGAACCGCAUCGCCCAGUGGCGAGAUGUGACUCCGCAGCAGGGCAUCGUGGAUCUGUCCCUCCCGCUGGCUGCCGAGCCGGCCCUGGGGCCGUACGCCAUCGAGGUGCAGGGGACCAGGCGUUCGUUCAGCGUGGAGGAGUAUGUGCUGCCCACGUUCGAAGUGACCCUCCAGAUGCCCCCCGUGGUGACGGUGCUGGACAAGACGCUCCACCUGCGGGUCUGUGGCCGCUACACCUACGGGAAGCCCGUGCUGGGGAGAGUCCAGGCCAGCCUGUGUCAGGAGCUGUAUUCCUGGUACCGGUAUGAAAGCGCUGUCCCGAGGGACGUGUGCACCGAGUUCACUGGCCAGGUGAG
Pelodiscus sinensis (Chinese soft-shelled turtle) is the source of this 505-nucleotide non-coding RNA. The record is from RefSeq and is a predicted model, not a curated record. Lineage: Eukaryota; Metazoa; Chordata; Testudines; Trionychidae.